This 457-nucleotide ribosomal RNA is filed under the name Pseudomonas sp. Its description in RNAcentral is "bacterial SSU rRNA". It matches the Rfam family "Bacterial small subunit ribosomal RNA", at positions 75 to 528 of the family's 1533-position model. The record is from RNAcentral. Lineage: Bacteria; Pseudomonadati; Pseudomonadota; Gammaproteobacteria; Pseudomonadales; Pseudomonadaceae.
GGAGCUUGCUCCAUGAUUCAGCGGCGGACGGGUGAGUAAUGCCUAGGAAUCUGCCUGGUAGUGGGGGACAACGUUUCGAAAGGAACGCUAAUACCGCAUACGUCCUACGGGAGAAAGCAGGGGACCUUCGGGCCUUGCGCUAUCAGAUGAGCCUAGGUCGGAUUAGCUAGUUGGUGAGGUAAAGGCUCACCAAGGCGACGAUCCGUAACUGGUCUGAGAGGAUGAUCAGUCACACUGGAACUGAGACACGGUCCAGACUCCUACGGGAGGCAGCAGUGGGGAAUAUUGGACAAUGGGCGAAAGCCUGAUCCAGCCAUGCCGCGUGUGUGAAGAAGGUCUUCGGAUUGUAAAGCACUUUAAGUUGGGAGGAAGGGCAGUAAGUUAAUACCUUGCUGUUUUGACGUUACCGACAGAAUAAGCACCGGCUAACUUCGUGCCAGCAGCCGCGGUAAUACGA